GUUGAACGCUGGCGGAAUGCUUUACACAUGCAAGUCGAACGGCAGCACGGGGGCAACCCUGGUGGCGAGUGGAGAACGGGGGAGUAAUACAUCGGAACGUGCCCGGUCGUGGGGGAUAACGUAGCGAAAGUUACGCUAAUACCGCAUACGAUCUGAGGAUGAAAGCGGGGACCUUCGGGCCUCGCGCGAUCGGCGCGGCCGAUGUCGGAUGAGGUAGUUGGUGGGGUAAAGGCCUACCAAGCCGACGAUCGGUAGCGGGUCUGAGAGGACGACCAGCCACACUGGGAGUGAGACACGGCCCAGACUCCUGAGGGAGGCAGCAGUGGGGAAUCUUGGACAAUGGGCGCAAGCCUGAUCCAGCCAUACCGCGUGCAGGACGAAGGCGUUCGGGUUGUAAACUGCUUUUGUAUGGAGCGAAAAGGCUCUGGCUAAUACCUGGGGAUCAUGACGGUACCGGAAGAAUAAGCACCGGCUAACUACGUG
RNAcentral lists this ribosomal RNA (483 nucleotides) under uncultured bacterium. RNAcentral's name for it is "partial 16S ribosomal RNA". It matches the Rfam family "Bacterial small subunit ribosomal RNA", at positions 28 to 507 of the family's 1533-position model. The record is from RNAcentral.